Molecule: ribosomal RNA, 383 nt
Filed under: uncultured bacterium
Lineage: Bacteria
Description: bacterial SSU rRNA
Rfam family: Bacterial small subunit ribosomal RNA
Source: RNAcentral
AACGAACGCUGGCGGCGCGCCUAACACAUGCAAGUCGAACGAGAAUCCGGGGCAACCCGGUAGUAAAGUGGCAAACGGGUGAGGAAUACAUGGGUAACCUACCCUUGAGAAGGGAAUAACCCGCCGAAAGGUGAGCUAAUACCCUAUACGCUAUCUUUUUUUCGAAAAGGAUAGGAAAGCCGGGUCGAGGACCUGGUACUCAAGGAGGGGCUCAUGUCCUAUCAGCUUGUUGGUGGGGUAACGGCCUACCAAGGCUACGACGGGUAGCUGGUCUGAGAGGAUGAUCAGCCACACUGGCACUGAGAUACGGGCCAGACUCCUACGGGAGGCAGCAGUGAGGAAUAUUGCGCAAUGGGCGAAAGCCUGACGCAGCGACGCCGCGU